GUGUCAGCAGCCGCGGUAAUACGUAGGGUCCGAGCGUUGUCCGGAGUUACUGGGCGUAAAGCGCGCGCAGGUGGUUCACUAAGCCCGGCGUGAAAGCCCCCGGCUCAACCGGGGAGGGUCGUCGGGGACUGGUGAACUUGAGGGCGGCAGGGGCUGGUGGAAUCCCCGGUGUAGUGGUGAAAUGCGUAGAGAUCGGGGGGAACACCCGUGGCGAAGGCGGCCAGCUGGGCCGUCCCUGACACUGAGGCGCGAAGGCGUGGGGAGCGAACGGGAUUAGAUACCCCGGUAGUCC
This 292-nucleotide ribosomal RNA is filed under the name uncultured bacterium. RNAcentral describes it as "partial 16S ribosomal RNA". It matches the Rfam family "Bacterial small subunit ribosomal RNA", at positions 505 to 796 of the family's 1533-position model. The record is from RNAcentral.